AAAAAAGCGAUGACCCAGGAAGAGUAGAAAAGAAGCUCCCCCGACAGAGAGACCGGAACAGGUGAGAGCCGGUCAGGGCAGGAAUCUUUUUGAAUGCACCUGCGAGCUGUCCUCUGGAAAGCAAGCCGAGUAUAGAGGAACGUACCUCCUGCGUUAAAGGGAAAAGCGAUAAAUUUGAAGUGGAACCGCGGAAUUAUUACUCCGCCUUCAUC
This 212-nucleotide non-coding RNA is filed under the name Clostridium sp. RNAcentral's name for it is "T-box sequence". It matches the Rfam family "T-box leader". From Rfam's summary of the family: Uncharged tRNA acts as the effector for transcription antitermination of genes in the T-box leader family. Lineage: Bacteria; Bacillati; Bacillota; Clostridia; Eubacteriales; Clostridiaceae. The record is from RNAcentral.